This is a long non-coding RNA of Cydia pomonella (codling moth), 1490 nucleotides long. RefSeq lists it as uncharacterized. The transcript has 3 exons. NCBI's taxonomy places the organism in Eukaryota, Metazoa, Arthropoda, Insecta, Lepidoptera, Tortricidae. The record is from RefSeq and is a predicted model, not a curated record.
CAUUAGAUUAUAGACAAUAUCGUGGCAGAUCAUGGAGGGCAAGUUCAAAUUAUUAUAAAAUUAUCUGGUUCUGCGCAAAAUGGACCAACUACACUUGACGGACCAACAAGGGUAUUAUUUUGUUAUUAAUCUUAUUAUUAUUUGCAUUUGUAUACAUUGGAAGGCCGAUAAUUGCUCAAAUAAUUCUGCCAAAACAUUAACUAAUGAUUUCUCAUCAUCAUCUUCUUCCUCGCGUUGUCCCGGCAUUUUGCCACGGCUCAUGGGAGCCUGGGGUCCGCUUGGCAACUGAUCCCGAUAAUUGGCGUAGGCACUAGUUUUUACGAAAGCCACUGCCAUCUGACCUUUCAACCCAGAGGGUAAACUAGGCCUUAUUGGGAUUAGCCCGGUUUUCUUACAAUGUUUUCCUUCACCGAAAAGCGACUGGUGAUUAUUAAGCUUAGAAUAAAUUUAAAAGUGGAAAAAUUACUGCCUCUACGAACAAUCCAGAGGCCAUGAUUUCGAGUCACACCCAAGGCAGUAAUUUAGCCACUUAAAAUUAUCAUAAUUUUAGCCUCCAGUCGGCCUCUCUACAAUCCAGAAGUGUUCCGCGAUUUUUCGAAUGUCAUCCAGCCAACGAGCCAACGGACGCCAGGCGCUUCUUUCAUCCGAAAGCGGCCACCAAUCUGUCAACAUUUUGGUCCACCGGCCAUCACUCUGUCUGGCUACAUGUUCCGCCCAAUUCCAUUUCAUUGUGGUUUCUACUACAAAAAAAUAUAGCACUCAUGGAGCCCGAUUUUCGAUAAAUUCACGAACUGCCUGAUCUUACCAUCGGCCGGGCCGCUGGCAUACAUACUAUCAUAGUCUUCAAGUUCAAAAGUCCAGUUUUAUACCUAUAAAAUUGUCAUUCCCCGCAGAAAUGCGGUACGACCAUUCUGUUGCAAUUACAAUUUAAAUAAAUUAAAAAAAAAAUCUUAAUAACAUAAUAAUUAUAAAUUUAGAUGGAAAUGGAGAAGUCGUGCGAAAUUGCCUUUUCAUACAAAUGUAGUCCUCAUUUUCCUCUCUGGAUAUUCACAUUAUUGAAAGUAUUUUGACACAAUUUGUUGUAACUAUCAACCACAGCUAUGCAACUACGUUUGUUUUUUAAGGUUCCGUAGUCAACUAGGAACCCUUAUAGUUUCGCCAUGUCCGUCUGUCUGUCUGUCCGAGGCUUUACGCCGUGGUCGUUAGAAAAAGCUGCUAGAAAGCUGAAAUUUGACAUGGAUAUAUAAAUCAAUAAAGCCGACAAAGUCGUACAAUAAAAUAUAAAAAUUUAAUUAUUUAGGGUACCUCCCCUACACUUUAAGGGGGGGGGGGAUUUUUCUUUUGCUUCAACCCUACGGUGUCUUUCAAAACCAAUAGGGGUCUUCAACAAACAUUUUUUGAUAAAGUGAAUAUAUUCGGUGAUAAACGCUCCGAAAGAAAAAACUGUCCUCCUCCUCCGUCUAACUUUUAAACCAUGGGUCAAAAAAAUA